AGUCCUCUCUCUUGGGGUAUGCGCACAACUUAGUUUCUAGGAUUUUUGUCCUAAGAGUUUAGGAAUAGAGAAAAAAUAAAAAAAAUUAUUUUCUUCUCCAUCUUUUUUUUACCUCUUCAUCUUUUUUAGAAGUCCAUCUUUAAUCUCUGAAAAGGUUUUAGAGAUUUGAAGAAAAGAUCCAGAUCAACAAAGAAGAAGGUCAUCGCAUAAGCUAGCAUUCCUGUGGAGACCAAUCAGAUCGGAGCUUUGAGUGAAAUUUUUAUAG
Molecule: long non-coding RNA, 265 nt
Filed under: Elaeis guineensis (African oil palm)
Lineage: Eukaryota; Viridiplantae; Streptophyta; Magnoliopsida; Arecales; Arecaceae
Description: long non-coding RNA (EGUI_LNC053530)
Source: RNAcentral